This 461-nucleotide ribosomal RNA is filed under the name Bacillus siamensis. RNAcentral describes it as "bacterial SSU rRNA". It matches the Rfam family "Bacterial small subunit ribosomal RNA", at positions 185 to 630 of the family's 1533-position model. Lineage: Bacteria; Bacillati; Bacillota; Bacilli; Caryophanales; Bacillaceae. The record is from RNAcentral.
CACCGCAUGGUUCAGACAUAAAAGGUGGCUUCGGCUACCACUUACAGAUGGACCCGCGGCGCAUUAGCUAGUUGGUGAGGUAACGGCUCACCAAGGCGACGAUGCGUAGCCGACCUGAGAGGGUGAUCGGCCACACUGGGACUGAGACACGGCCCAGACUCCUACGGGAGGCAGCAGUAGGGAAUCUUCCGCAAUGGACGAAAGUCUGACGGAGCAACGCCGCGUGAGUGAUGAAGGUUUUCGGAUCGUAAAGCUCUGUUGUUAGGGAAGAACAAGUGCCGUUCAAAUAGGGCGGCACCUUGACGGUACCUAACCAGAAAGCCACGGCUAACUACGUGCCAGCAGCCGCGGUAAUACGUAGGUGGCAAGCGUUGUCCGGAAUUAUUGGGCGUAAAGGGCUCGCAGGCGGUUUCUUAAGUCUGAUGUGAAAGCCCCCGGCUCAACCGGGGAGGGUCAUUGGA